GCGAUCAUGACGAGCGAGAAGACCUCCUCCACCUGGCGGAUCAGGCCCGCCAGAUAACUCAUGUUGGGGGAAGCAAGCUACCACACUGUGUGCAGCCCUAUAGGGAGGUAACACAUGGCAACAGACUGCUUGAAGAACUGAAGUCUGCCAAACCACUUGAGUGAGCUUGGAAGGGGAUCUCUUCCAGUCAGACCUUCAGAUGAGGAGCAGCCCUGGCUAACGCCUUGAUUGCACACUCAUGGAAGACCUGAACCAGAGGUACCCAGUAAGCUACACCUGGAUUCCUGACCCACAGAAAGGGAGAGAAUAAAUGUUGUUUUCAGCUGCUAA
Molecule: long non-coding RNA, 330 nt
Organism: Marmota flaviventris (yellow-bellied marmot)
Lineage: Eukaryota; Metazoa; Chordata; Mammalia; Rodentia; Sciuridae
Source: RefSeq, a predicted model, not a curated record